This 646-nucleotide long non-coding RNA is filed under the name Physcomitrium patens. RNAcentral's name for it is "long non-coding RNA (PPAT_LNC006187)". The record is from RNAcentral. Lineage: Eukaryota; Viridiplantae; Streptophyta; Bryopsida; Funariales; Funariaceae.
UCUUCUUUAAAACAUUAGUACUUAUAAUCAACUUAAUUGUAAAGAGGUGUGAAAAAUUUGAGUUAAAAUCAAUGGACCAUUGAUUAUAGAGGUUUUAAUUUGUUAUAGAAAUUACUUGAAUUAUUUAGAGUUUGGUUAGGAUAUGUUUAGGAUUUGAUUAAGAUUUGAUUAAAGUUUAUUUAAGUUUGUUUAGAAUUUGGUUAAAAUUUUUUAAGAUUUAUUUAUGAUUGAUUAGGAUUUGGUUAGGAUUUGGUUAAGAUUUGAUUAGGUAUUAGUUAAGAUUUUAUUAAGAUUUGGUUAGGAUUUAGUUAAGAUUUGUUUAGGAUUUGAUUAAGAUUUAUUUAGGAUUGAUUAGGAUUUGAUUAGAAUUUGAUUAGAAUUUGAUUAAGAAUUGGUUAGGAUUUGGUUAGGAUUUGAUUAGGAUUUGAUUAGGAUUUGAUUAGAAUUUGACUAAGAUUUGAUUAGGAUUUGAUUAGGAUUUGAUUAGGUUUUAUUUAGGAUUUGAUUAGGAUUUAGUCAAGAUUUGUUUAGUAUUUGACUAAAAUUUUAUUAAGAUUUGUUUAAGAUUUGAUUAAGAUUUGAUUAAGAUUUGUUAAGAUUUGACUAAAGUUUAUUUAAGAUUUGAUUAGGAUUUGACUAAGAUUUA